AGAGUUUGAUUAUGGCUCAGGAUGAACGCUAGCUACAGGCUUAACACAUGCAAGUCGAGGGGCAGCAGGAUCUAGCAAUAGAUUGCUGGCGACCGGCGCACGGGUGAGUAACACGUAUCCAACCUGCCGAUAACUCGGGGAUAGCCUUUCGAAAGAAAGAUUAAUACCCGAUGGCAUAAUUAGACCGCAUGGUUUGAUUAUUAAAGAAUUUCGGUUAUCGAUGGGGAUGCGUUCCAUUAGGCAGUUGGUGAGGUAACGGCUCACCAAACCUUCGAUGGAUAGGGGUUCUGAGAGGAAGGUCCCCCACAUUGGAACUGAGACACGGUCCAA
This 330-nucleotide ribosomal RNA is filed under the name uncultured bacterium. RNAcentral describes it as "bacterial SSU rRNA". It matches the Rfam family "Bacterial small subunit ribosomal RNA", at positions 8 to 334 of the family's 1533-position model. The record is from RNAcentral.